Molecule: ribosomal RNA, 253 nt
Filed under: uncultured bacterium
Lineage: Bacteria
Description: partial 16S ribosomal RNA
Rfam family: Bacterial small subunit ribosomal RNA
Source: RNAcentral
UACGUAGGGUGCAAGCGUUGUCCGGAAUUAUUGGGCGUAAAGAGCUCGUAGGCGGUUUGUUGCGUCGGCUGUGAAAUCCCGAGGCUCAACCUCGGGUCUGCAGUCGAUACGAGCAAACUAGAGUGUUGCAGGGGAGACUGGAAUUCCUGGUGUAGCGGUGAAAUGCGCAGAUAUCAGGAGGAACACCAGUAGCGAAGGCGGCACUCUGGGCCGGUACUGACGCUGAGGAGCGAAAGCGUGGGGAGCAAACAGG